Molecule: long non-coding RNA, 536 nt
Organism: Paramormyrops kingsleyae
Lineage: Eukaryota; Metazoa; Chordata; Actinopteri; Osteoglossiformes; Mormyridae
Source: RefSeq, a predicted model, not a curated record
GGAGGGAGGGCGGGCAGGUCGGGACACGAAACCAUGUGUCACCGUCUCUAGGGGCUGAUCACAGGCACUUACCGCUCCGUCUGCGGAUUAACGGCGUGGACGUGCGCCGUAAAUACACAUAAAUGUUCUGGUACAACACAGUCAGGCCCGGAUUACAGGGUAGCACACAGCAGCUGUGCAGCAGAGGAGAAUUAGCACUGAGUGGGCGACGCCCCUCCAGCGGGAACCGGCCCGGCUGGUGCUGCAGUGACGGUGACGUUCCCCCCGGCUCCCCAAGCGGCGGCAUUAACGAGGAACAAAGGGAGGUGGCCCCAGAAGGUUGAAGAGGAAACGGUAAAAAGCUCACUGUCAAGAGACAGUGCCACAGGUGCAAGCCAUAAGCAAGGCAGAACAGUCACUCAAGCCAUGGCCAACGACACCAGUAACUAAUGAUGAGCCGAACGAGACUUUCCUGGUCACAGUGUGCAGGAUUAGGAUGCCCUAUCAAUCAUUUGCUGGUCUAACCACUUCCUUUUGUGAUGUUCACUGCUUCCUAU